RNAcentral lists this long non-coding RNA (1252 nucleotides) under Bemisia tabaci. RNAcentral's name for it is "lncRNA ENSSSA1UGG009463". Lineage: Eukaryota; Metazoa; Arthropoda; Insecta; Hemiptera; Aleyrodidae. The record is from RNAcentral.
GCGUGCGACUUAUAGUUGAGUUUCCAGUGGUUGAUCCAGAAUUAUUCGCACGUUAGUUUGGUGUCGAGUUUCUUGAUAGUGCGACCGCGAUUUAUUCAGUGCGACCGUGAAGUGGAAUUUUUCAAGAGGGAUCAAUGAAUAAGCUAAAUCUCGGCUACCUUGUGUUAAAUUUGACUCCUAUCUACUCGUAACUGGUACUCACAACUCGUAACCUGUAUCAUACUCUCCUAACCUAACACUUUAAAAACAAGCGAUUCAAUUGUGUUUACGUACUGCGAAUCAGCCGAAUUCGGAUCAUCAGUUUAACCCGAUCUUUUUUGAAAAUCGGAAGGACUUGAUUUUUACAAAAAUUAUAUGGAAUUUUUUUUAAAAUUCUAAUUUCUUUAAAGAGUGAAAGACAACCAAAAUUUUGACCAACAUUAUAAUCAAUGUCAUUCCCUCGCUGUGUAAUUUAAAGGCGGACAGCACAGGAAACCCGUAAUUUUCAAAGAAAUUUAACAUAAAUUCUCAUUAGUGCGUCUUUUACCUGUGUUUAAGCGCGGUUGCCAGUGCUGCGUAAAAUCGGAUCGUUUCUGGGCAUUUGUGAUCCGCAGGGUGCGGGAACGAAUCAAGAAUCAACAGGAAACGCCGACGCGGUUAGCUCAUCAAGUGUGCUAUCUGAAAUAUGUGCACUUUUUGAAGAAAAGUCCAAAAUUGCCGAGAUGCCGUAAAGACAUGUUUUUUACAAAACUAAAACGGCUCAUGAUCGGGGAACCGUGCUCCAAAAAGAUAUCACAAGGAAAUUCUGGUGAGUAAUUGAUGAAGCAAAUCUUAACGACGCACAAUGGAUCGAAUCAAUAGGAGAAGUCGGACAACGUUUGGAAACUUUAAACGCUCAUAACUCCGUUUAUACAAGACUUUGGGGUUCUGAAAGUGACUCCAUUGGUUUCCUCGUGAAAUUUUCUACUGAUAGCACCUCUUGAAAUUAAAAAUGUGACGAAAGAAACAUCAAAAUUUGCAGUUUUAGUCAAAAAUUUCAUGUCCAACCUCUCUAAUUGACUCGACCUACUCUGCGACGUGUGCAAACUUUGUGAAAUAGGGCAGCAGCCACGUUCUUCAGUUUCAUUACUUACUUCAACACUACUUAUUGAAGGAAUUAAUGAAUUUAUGAGUCCGCUCUCAAAUUAUAAACUUCAAUGACCUUAAUAUAAAACACGAAUCAAUAGGCUAUGGAACAGAAUCUAACAUUUGAAACAGGUCAGCAUUAUUUGGG